Molecule: transfer RNA, 73 nt
Filed under: Stegodyphus mimosarum
Lineage: Eukaryota; Metazoa; Arthropoda; Arachnida; Araneae; Eresidae
Rfam family: tRNA
About the family: Transfer RNA (tRNA) molecules are approximately 80 nucleotides in length. Their secondary structure includes four short double-helical elements and three loops (D, anti-codon, and T loops). Further hydrogen bonds mediate the characteristic L-shaped molecular structure. tRNAs have two regions of fundamental functional importance: the anti-codon, which is responsible for specific mRNA codon recognition, and the 3' end, to which the tRNAs corresponding amino acid is attached (by aminoacyl-tRNA synthetases). tRNAs cope with the degeneracy of the genetic code in two manners: having more than one tRNA (with a specific anti-codon) for a particular amino acid; and 'wobble' base-pairing, i.e. permitting non-standard base-pairing at the 3rd anti-codon position.
Source: Rfam by way of RNAcentral
GCCUUCGUGGUGUAGUGGUCAGCACGUUCGACGCAUAUUCGAGAGGUCCGUGGUUCGAGUCCCGGCGAGGGCA